AUUGAACGCUGGCGGCAGGCCUAACACAUGCAAGUCGAACGGUAACAGGAAGCAGCUUGCUGCUUCGCUGACGAGUGGCGGACGGGUGAGUAAUGUCUGGGAAGCUGCCUGAUGGAGGGGGAUAACUACUGGAAACGGUAGCUAAUACCGCAUAAUGUCGCAAGACCAAAGAGGGGGACCUUCGGGCCUCUUGCCAUCGGAUGUGCCCAGAUGGGAUUAGCUUGUUGGUGGGGUAACGGCUCACCAAGGCGACGAUCCCUAGCUGGUCUGAGAGGAUGACCAGCCACACUGGAACUGAGACACGGUCCAGACUCCUACGGGAGGCAGCAGUGGGGAAUAUUGCACAAUGGGCGCAAGCCUGAUGCAGCCCUGCCGCGUGUAUGAAGAAGGCCUUCGGGUUGUAAAGUACUUUCAGCGGGGAGGAAGGGAGUAAAGUUAAUACCUUUGCUCAUUGACGUUACCCGCAGAAGAAGCACCGGCUAACUCCGUG
This 490-nucleotide ribosomal RNA is filed under the name uncultured bacterium. RNAcentral's name for it is "partial 16S ribosomal RNA". It matches the Rfam family "Bacterial small subunit ribosomal RNA", at positions 30 to 507 of the family's 1533-position model. The record is from RNAcentral.